RNAcentral lists this ribosomal RNA (905 nucleotides) under uncultured bacterium. Its description in RNAcentral is "bacterial SSU rRNA". It matches the Rfam family "Bacterial small subunit ribosomal RNA", at positions 8 to 905 of the family's 1533-position model. The record is from RNAcentral.
AGAGUUUGAUCCUGGCUCAGAUUGAACGCUGGCGGCAUGCUUUACACAUGCAAGUCGAACGGGGGCGGCGGGGCAACUCGCGGCUUCAGUGGCGGACGGGUGAGUAAUGCAUCGGAACGUAUCCCGUGGUAGGGGACAACCCAGCGAAAGCUGGGCUAAUACCGCAUACGCUCUAUGGAGGAAAGCGGGGGACCCUGAGAGGGGCCUCGCGCCAUGGGGGCGGCCGAUGUCCGAUUAGCUGGUUGGUGGGGUAAUGGCCUACCAAGGCGACGAUCGGUAGCUGGUCUGAGAGGAUGAUCAGCCACACUGGGACUGAGACACGGCCCAGACUCCUACGGGAGGCAGCAGUGGGGAAUUUUGGACAAUGGGGGCAACCCUGAUCCAGCCAUGCCGCGUGCGGGAAGAAGGCCUUCGGGUUGUAAACCGCUUUUGUCCGGGAAGAAAGGGUCGAGGUGAAUAACCUCGGCUGUUGCCGGUACCGGGAGAAUAAGCACCGGCUAACUACGUGCCAGCAGCCGCGGUAAUACGUAGGGUGCGAGCGUUAAUCGGAAUUACUGGGCGUAAAGCGUGCGCAGGCGGUUCGUUGUGUCCGAUGUGAAAGCCCCGGGCUUAACCUGGGAACGGCAUUGGAAACUGGCGGGCUGGAGUGCGGCAGAGGGGGGUGGAAUUCCGCGUGUAGCAGUGAAAUGCGUAGAGAUGCGGAGGAACACCGAUGGCGAAGGCAGCCCCCUGGGCCGACACUGACGCUCAGGCACGAAAGCGUGGGCAGCAAACAGGAUUAGAUACCCUGGUAGUCCACGCCCUAAACGAUGAUCACUGGGUGUUGGGGAAGCGAUUCCUUGGUACCGUAGCUAACGCGUGAAGUGAUCCGCCUGGGGAGUACGGCCGCAAGGUUAAAACUCAAA